GAAGACCCGCCCCUCCCGGGCCUCCGGAUCCUGGCUGGGAGCCAUCUCUGCCUCCUGCCGCUUCCUGCACUCCUGAUCAGCUUAGCCCCUGCAGAAACUGGAUAAACCCUGGAGAAUGACUGUAGUCUACACCAGGAUUAAACAAAUAGUAACCCUGAUUGCAGGUGCUGUACUAGACAUAGUAUCUUUGGUAGAACCAAUUAGUGAGGCUUUCGGUACAACCAUUGACAUGGGAGAUGCAUUCUUUUCCAUUCCAAUCAAGAAAGAGGAUCAGAAAUGGUUUGUAUUUAGGUAGGAUAGAAAACAAUAUUAAACUGAAGUUUUGCCUCAGGGCUAAAUGAACUCUACUGCCUUCUGUCCUAAAAUAGCUUGAGGAUAUGUGGACCACCUGAAUGUCCCACAGAACAUCAUGACACCUUGGUGAUGGGGCAGAACCAACAAUAGAUGGCUAUCUCACUAGAGGUCUUGGUAAGAUACAUGCACUAGAGAGGAUGGGAAAUAAACCCUAUAAAGAUUGAGAGAUAUACAUGUCAAUAAAGUCCUUACGGAUCCAAUGCUCAGGGUCAUUCCUGAAUAUCUCCUCUAAAUUCAAAUAAAACCACUGCAUCUUGCAUUCCCUACCACAAAGAAGGAAGCACAGUGCAUGGUGUGCCUCAUUUGCUUCUGAUGGCAACACAUUUCAUACCUAGGAAUGCUGCUUCAGCCCCUAUACUGGAUGACACAAAAGGGUGCUAACUUUGAGUGGAGCCUAAACUAGGAAAGAGCUCUGCAACAGGUCCGAACUGGAGUGCAAGCACACCUGCCACUGGAGCCGUGUUAUCUCACGGACCUCAUGAGGUUGUAGGUGUCAGCAGUGGGACAAGAUGCAUCAUAGGGUGGAAAUUGUAUAUCUAAGAUCAAACCUAGGCAGGACUGGAGGAUACGCAUGAGUAAUCCACAUAAGCUGGUAGCCCAGACCCCCAUGUCACCCACCGCGGCUAUACCAGCGCUCCUGCCUCAGCUCAUAUUUAUGGCCAUAUUGGAGUGCUGACACACUGAUCUGGGGUUACUCACUCACAUCAGGCACUGGAUGAGUACAGUGUCCUGGGCUAAAGUUGAUCUAUCCCAGACCCUCACCUUCAGCAGCAUCAGUGGCCCUCACAGCAGCUCUCCCUCCUCUGUAUUCCUACUUAGUGGCAGCUGUGGCCUGCAGCACCCAGAAACAGUGAGGUAGAGGGAAUGGCAAGCAUCCAUUACCCUGUGCUCCAUCAAUGGCACUGUCACCCCCUCUGUAGGCUCUGUGCCAUGUGUCAGGUAGUACCCAGGGCUUGUGAGACAUCACUCCAAGUUUCCAACCAGGUAUGCUCUUGAUUCCAGUGGAUGUGAUGACGUUGUGCUCUCUCAGGGCUUAGGCUAUGCCAGAGGAGGGAUGAACAUUCCUUGCUGAAUGAGAUCCCUCUAGCUGUUCCACCCAGGGCCUCUGGCCUGUCCUUUCCUUUGGUGAUGGAGUGUAGAAGGCAGGCGUGGAGUUAACACAGAAAGAUUUAACUUUCUGUGUUAGGCAGGCAUGGAGUUAACCCUCUGAAAACACAGGAUGCCAGUCUAAAGAGUGAAGAGAAAAUGUGGUUGGAAGAUGUGUUCUUCUACCUUUACAUCAUAAAUUUCAGAACAGUGCAUUUCAUGACCAGAAGAUGAAUUACUGUUCACAUUUUUCUGCAUGCUCUGGAUAAGAUUUGCAAUUGUGAUCAUUGCCAAUGGAAGCACAGUAACAGCUUUCAGAGGGUCAGUGGAAGCCAGUAUGGAAGAUAUACGCUGGACAAGGCAGCCUCUUGAGUGAUGAUGUAACUACCAUUAAACACAUGGUAUCAGGGAACUACAGAGGUAUGAUCUGUGUUGCUUCAAUACAAAAAAGUGAAGAAGAGCCACGGCACUGCCAGUAAUAAUGACGUUCCAUGAGAGAUAUACAAGUAGCCAGAACUUUUGCCACUAAGAAGAAACUUCACACUGAAAGGACAAUAGAUAAAUAUGUAAAUGCAUCUUGUCUACCUAUCACUCUAAAUCAAUUGAUCAGUGUAUACAUCACCAUGCCUCAUGAAUUUUGUCAUAAAUUUUUAAUCAAAUUGUUUAUGCAGAGGAUUCACGAAAAUGAGAGAGAUAAUCUGCCCUGGAUUAAUCAAUGACAUUUACCAAGCUCUAAUAAGAACAAGAAUUGUGCUAGAUACCAUGGAUACAAUAAAGAACAAUGCACAAAUGGACUAAAUGUAACUCACUGUCUAAACUGGUAGCAAUGCAUAUAGACAGACGCAGGGUGUCCUGAGCAGGGACAUAGGAAGGGGUGAUGGAAUGAACACCCAGCGAUGGUUCCGUACUGAUGUUCCCAGUUGAAGUCAUCAAAAAGGUGACCACUCCACAGGAACUCCAUUUGAGGGCCUUGUUCAAUGGGACUUUUCAGCCAUCCUCCCAAUCCAAGUAUUUUCUUCACCUAUUAAACUUGUCUUUGAUUAGCUCUCCAUUGGUCAGAGAUUCUGUGAGAUACCUAUGAAAAGAUGGAAGUGACACUUACAUAUGCCUAUCCCAACAGCCUAGCUGGAAAUCACCAAAAUGAGGCAAGAGAACAGGGUUUUUAGUGAACCUUUUUCCUGUGUGCCUGUUCUAGUUGAAGAAUCUGGGUUUAAUAGACCUAGAAUUCUUUAUAAAAGAAUUCUUGCCAGGCCAGGCGUGGUGGCUUACGCCUGUAAUCCCAGCACUUCAGGAGGCCAAGGCAGGUGUAUCAUGAGGUCAAGAGUUUGAGACUAGCCUGACCAACAUGAUGAAACCCCGUCUCUGCUAAAAAUACAAAAAUUAGCUGGACGUGGAGGCACAUGCUUGUAAUCCCAGCUACUCAGGAGGCUGAGGCAGGAGAAUCAUUUGAACCUGGGAGGCGGAGGUUGCAGUGGGCCGAGAUCGCACCAUUGCACUCCAGCCUGGGCGACAGAGUGAGACUUUGUCUGAAAAAAAUAAAAUAAAAAAAUAAAGAAUUCUUGCAACCACACCUCACAGAUCACAGUUCCAGAACUGCUGCAGAAGAAGGUCUUUCUGAAGAAGGUACAAAGGGGAAAGAUAAAGGUGCUGGGUUUUAUCUCUGGUCCUGGUCAGAAUCAACUCAGUCUUUACCAACAGGGAUUGUCCCAUCUGUCAUCCUUGGUUACACAAGCCCCAUCAGGCAGAAUGGGGGAAGGACUGAGCUCUGGGCCUGGUGAGCACCACUGAGCGCCCCACUGCUACUUCAGGAAUCGCCUAUCAGGCUGGUGGGUGGGGUAGGAGUGAAAAUAAUCAGCACCAGUUUUGGAGUCCAGUCUAGAAGUGGCAUUUGACCAGACCCCCCCAUAGCUCUUGAGGGUCUUUUCUGAGGACCUUUACUGCAGUCUAUGCAAAAAACCCACUCAUAGUCCUCAGUAACUUCCAGUCCUCCAAAGCCAUACAGUGUGGUCAUUUUACUCAUCCUCUAGGCUUUCUUUAGUUAUUCAUGCAAAGAUAGGCCUGGCCUUGGGUGUCUGUAGCGAGGCCACAAGGCCUUGGAUCAGAACAGCAACGUCAGGGAAAACAAAAUCCAAGGGGCUGCCCAGUCCAAGGGCAAACUGGGAGUCUAGUCCCCAUCUUGUAACCACGAUCUCUACCUUGCGAUGCUGCAGGGGCACCUCUUCUGCCUUUCACCUAGGCUCCUGGCAAAGGCCUUGCAAAGCAUUAUUCAGGGCACUGUGUGAGGCCAGAGAAGGAACUGAGGAAGACCACACCCAUACACAGAGAUGAAGAGUGUGGAGUGACAGGAAGACGGAGUGGGGAGGUGGUUUUCCCCUCUGAAGUCGGACCGCUCCGUGGCCAGGCUGUCCUCCAGCUGCACUGAGUGGUUCUGCCUGUCGAUGGCCUGCCAGCCUGCCGUGGGCCACUAUCAGUCUGCUCUUACACCGGUGUGUUCCUCUUGACGUCCAGAGGCUUGUGUGCGUGCCUGCUAAGCUCUCAGGUUUUUUUACAGGCACAGAAUGAGGGUGUGGUAGGCCAGGGUAGUCUUGGGAAAUCCAACAUUUAAGCACGAAAACAGAAAUGCCUGUCCUCACCUAGGUCUGUGGGCACAGGCCCGGGGGUGGAGCCCUAGCCAGGGACCACACCCUUCCCUUCCCAGCACUUCCCCGCCCCCCUUCCGUAUCAGUAGCUUGAGGGAGUUACUUCUCAGGGAGAUGUUUUGGUUUUUAGGGAGAAGACAAAACCUCCAAUUUGAAAAACAAAGCGAGUCCUUUGGUGAGGGAAACACUGGACACACAGAGGGCGGGCUGGAAGGGCAGGUGCUGGGAAGACAGCAAGGAGUGCAGACCCACUGGGGAGGCAGCCUGGGAAGAUGUUUAUUUUCUGAGAGACGAGGAAAGACUGGGAAACGGAGAAAUUUUUAGGGUGGAGGGUGGGAAACUUGGGAAACAGCAGAUGGUCUUAAUCUUCUGAGAAAGGAGGCAGUGCCAAGCCUGGCUGGGGCGACAGUGGGAGUGUGGGCUGAGGGAUGGUGGGGACAUCCUCUGCUAGCUGCUGAAGGUCUAGGAUGGGCACUGAGGCGAGCCUCAGCGGUGCUCCCCGGGCUUGCCUCCCAGGAGGGACCCUGCAGGAAGGUGUCCAGAUGCAGAGCCCCAACUCCUCCCCCAGAGACUUGGAUUCAGUAGAACUGGGAUAGGGUCCAAAAUCUGUAUCAUUAGGACACUCUCAGAGUAUACUUGUCAUCAGGCAAAGCCUGGAGAAAUAGCAAAAAGAACCGUUAGCCCCAGGGAGAGCCCACUGGAGGCUGGAAACGGGAAGUAUUGGGGAAUCACUUAGUAUCCUUUAUCACAGACUCUGCUGCCCAGAACCCUGGGGGAGAAAGCUGACAGGGGAAGGAGUGUGUAGCCACGUGGGAUGUACCCAGGAGGGGAAGGUAUCUCCAGGAGGGUAGAGUCCAUCCAGGAGGGUGAGGUCUAGUUGGGGGGAUGGGGUCUACCCAGAGGGGUGAGGUCUGGCUGGAGGGGGGAUGGGGACAGUCCAGGAGGGAGAAGUCUAGCUGGGGGGAUGGGAUCUGUCCAGGAGGAUGAAGUCUAGCUAGGGGGAUGGGGUUUACUCAGGAGGGUGAGUUCUGGUUGGGGAGAUGGGUCUACCCAGAGGAUGAGGUCUAGCUGGGGGGAGAGGGUCUGUCCAGGAGGGUAAGGUCUCUCCAUAGGGUGCUUUGGGAGGUCUGGGGCUUGGGGUUCCUGUGAUCACAGCCCAAAUAUAUGACUUGGACCCACACUUGGCAGAGACCAAGGUGAAGACAAGACAGGACUGAUGGACUCUGAGGAAAGAGCGUGGCGGGAGCAGGGUCAAGAGCGAGAGGCCAGAGUGCAAGGAAGUGGGAGGGUCUGAGGUGGGAUCCCAGAGUGGGAGCUGGGGAGCUGGAGUGCUGGAAAUGCUUCUCAUGCUGGAGAGGCCAAUCCUAGGGCUUGGUUAGACUAAGUGCGUUUAACUGGGGCAGCAGUUUUACACAUGUAUUUCAGGAGGAGAUGAUUUUAUCAUAAACACAUUCCACUGAUUCAUGUGAAAUCAUUAAAAAAAUUAAGGUCAAGGUUUUUUUCUCCUGGCUGCUUUAGGCUACAUGCCCAGGACUCCUGUCCCUCUGUGGUGAGGGGAUUUGGGUGGAAGAGUUUGAGAAGCUCUGCUGUGGAAUCCUCUCCUUUUUAAAUAAAGAGGGACACUCCAAGCCUGGCAUUGAAAGGCACACCUCUCGGUGGAAGCAGUUGGCCAGGUUUUGAUCCCUUAAGGAUUGGAACCUUAUGAAAUUGCCAAGAUUGGACCAUGUUUGACUUGUGUAAAUAGCUUCUUCCUGUGAUUCAGUCUGAAUUUUAGACUCCAGGUCUCAUCGCUGCCUCCACCAUGUGGCCUCAAGGGGGCGCCGCUCCGCCUCCUAAAUCCCCAAGGACAAAGCCCACUUUCUUGGCUUCUGGAAGCAGCGCGAGGGGUCAUUGGUGGAA
Molecule: long non-coding RNA, 5978 nt
Filed under: Homo sapiens (human)
Lineage: Eukaryota; Metazoa; Chordata; Mammalia; Primates; Hominidae
Description: HSALNT0100685
Source: RNAcentral